Long non-coding RNA from Lycium barbarum (goji berry), 223 nucleotides. RefSeq lists it as uncharacterized. The record is from RefSeq and is a predicted model, not a curated record. The transcript has 2 exons. NCBI's taxonomy places the organism in Eukaryota, Viridiplantae, Streptophyta, Magnoliopsida, Solanales, Solanaceae.
GAACCUGAAAAGAAAGUUACAGUAAGUCACUGGCUCUGAGUUAUCCAUCCAUUGUACUGGGCAAAGAUUUGCAUCAUACUGAAGAAUUCCACCCUCUUUUCAAGAUCAAAGCAGAUUUACAGAGUCCAAACUCCCAUGUAACUAAUAUUCACUAGAAAGCACAUAUCUUCGUGUGGGGAUGUCUCUUCUUUCAUAAUAAGUAAGUUACCAACUCUUUUAGUCA